UUUAAAAUUAAAAAUCAUAUGUAUUUUUCUCACCCAAAAGAUAUGAUUAGAUUCAUAAAAAGAGCCCAUAGGCCCAAAAUUAUAUGCAGAAGGCUUGAAGCCUCAGAUUGUAUCAACAAGGGUUUUAAAGCCCAAAACAUAAAUAACUCAUUAAAUCAUGGAACCCUAAGACCGGAUCCUUUGACUAAGAACUCUAACCUGGAAGCAAGAGAUCGGACAUCUCAGCACCGCACUCCUUCCCUGCAAAGCCGGUACUAUCUCCAACAGCAAAAAACGGCCAGUCUCUCAAACAAUAUCCUAGACCAUACAAACCAAUUGAAGAACAAACAAGAGGGACCUUAGUCGGCAGCCAACAACCAAAACCAAAGCACAAGAGAAUGACGAUAAACACAGAAGGCACAUGCAAUGCUAAAAUCAAGUUGAGCGGAGCAUAUUGGACACCACCAAAAGAGAAGAAAGAGCUUCUGCAAUCAAGUCCAAUCUUCACUAUGGCUCCAGCCAAAACCAAGAGAACCCGAUACUAAAGAUUCAAAAAGAGAGAGGGAGAUGAGAGACCACCAUUUCUCAUCGGUAGAAGAAACUUUCACAUCGUAGUGUCAAGGCCUCAACCUUAUAUGCAACAAAAGAUCUAGAGGGGAUAAUGGAAGGCGGUUACAAAGACAGAGGGAGAACCUCAGUCGGACCACCUCACCAUCAUCCUUAGAAAACCAAGAAAAAAGAAAAGAAAACAUGGCAACCCAAAGAAACAACCUCUCAUGAGCGCUGCUGCCACCGAAAAAAACAAACAAUAUACUAUUUACAUCUCCACCCAGCGGAGGAGAGAUAAACCCAUGCCAGGUAGAGAGAGAUCUCCCUCUUCUUAGAGGGACGGAGAGAAACCUCCAAAACAAGGCGAGAAACUGGCAUAACCCGGACUAGACGAGGUUUAUA
This 930-nucleotide long non-coding RNA is filed under the name Manihot esculenta (cassava). RNAcentral's name for it is "long non-coding RNA (MESC_LNC006552)". Lineage: Eukaryota; Viridiplantae; Streptophyta; Magnoliopsida; Malpighiales; Euphorbiaceae. The record is from RNAcentral.